UAAGGAAUAUUGGACAAUGGAGGCAACUCUGAUCCAGCCAUGCCGCGUGAAGGAAUAAGGCCCUAUGGGUUGUAAACUUCUUUUAGACGGGACAAAACCCCUUUACGUGUAAAGGGUUGAUGGUACUGUCAGAAUAAGCAUCGGCUAACUUCGUGCCAGCAGCCGCGGUAAUACGGAGGGUGCAAGCGUUAUCCGGAUUCACUGGGUUUAAAGGGUGCGUAGGUGGGUAUGUAAGUCAGUGGUGAAAUCCCCGAGCUUAACUUGGGAACUGCCACUGAUAGUAUAUAUCUGGAAUACCGUAGAGGGAAGCGGAAUAUGUCAUGUCGGGGGGAAAUGCUUAGAGAUGACAUGGAAAACCAAUUGCGAAGGCAGCU
RNAcentral lists this ribosomal RNA (374 nucleotides) under uncultured bacterium. RNAcentral's name for it is "bacterial SSU rRNA". It matches the Rfam family "Bacterial small subunit ribosomal RNA", at positions 355 to 726 of the family's 1533-position model. The record is from RNAcentral.